CUGGUGCUCACGAAAAGAAUUUAAGUUCUGCCUUAUAUUUACUUACGACACUUUAAAGUAACAAAGAAAUUUUAAGAGUAAUUCAAUAGGGGUACAGCCCUAUUGAAAAAGAAAACAAUCUACACCUUUGGGUAAAGAUCAUAUAAUGUAAGGGUUUUGUCAGAGUGGGCCUAAAAGCAGCCACCUCCACAGAAAGCGUCACAGCUCAUGCAAAGCUUAUCCAAUAAUACCGUUAAACCCCCUAAACCCAUUAGUACUACUGAGCCUCUCUAUACUUAUAUAGAACAGUUUAUGCUAGAACUAGUAACAUGAAAUAAUUCUCCAGAUGCAAGUGUAAAUCAGAUCGAAAGCCUCACUGAUAAUUAACGUACCACAUGAAGGUAUUGUAGUAACUCAUCAAGAAAACCCUACAACCCCCGCCGUUAAUCUGACACAAGAGCAUAAAAGAAAGAUUAAAAGAUAUAAAAGGAACUCGGCAAACAUGAACUUCGCCUGU
This 496-nucleotide ribosomal RNA is filed under the name Discoglossus sardus (Tyrrhenian painted frog). RNAcentral's name for it is "partial 16S ribosomal RNA". The record is from RNAcentral. Lineage: Eukaryota; Metazoa; Chordata; Amphibia; Anura; Alytidae.